GUGGUUAUGUCAGAAUUAAUAUGAGUUAACUUUAAGCGUUAAUUAUGGCGUUAGCCUGAUCACU
Molecule: transfer RNA, 64 nt
Filed under: Parabreviscolex niepini
Lineage: Eukaryota; Metazoa; Platyhelminthes; Cestoda; Caryophyllidea; Caryophyllaeidae
Description: tRNA-Leu
Source: RNAcentral